CCUACGGGAGGCAGCAAUGAGGGAUAUUGGUCAAUGGGGGAAACCCUGAACCAGCAACGCCGCGUGAGGGAAGACGGUUUUCGGAUUGUAAACCUCUGUCCGCGGGGAAGAGAAUGACGGUAGCAGAGGAGGAAGCUCCGGCUAACGACGUGCCAGCAGCCGCGGUAAUACGUAGGGAGCGAGCGUUGUCCGGAUUUACUGGGGGUAAAGGGUGCGUAGGCGGGUAUGCAAGUCAGAAGUGAAAUCCCUGGGCUUAACCCAUGAACUGCUUUUGAAACUGUUUAUCUUGAGUGAAGGAGCGGUAGGCGGAAUUCCCGUUGUAGCGGUGACAUGCGUA
Molecule: ribosomal RNA, 337 nt
Filed under: uncultured bacterium
Lineage: Bacteria
Description: partial 16S ribosomal RNA
Rfam family: Bacterial small subunit ribosomal RNA
Source: RNAcentral